RNA transcript from Trachemys scripta elegans, 5677 nucleotides. RefSeq lists it as uncharacterized. The transcript has 17 exons. Lineage: Eukaryota; Metazoa; Chordata; Testudines; Emydidae. The record is from RefSeq and is a predicted model, not a curated record.
AGGUGUUGUCUGACACUGCCUCUUUGGCAUGUGUUCUCCAGGCAAUGCUCCCACUCCUGUCCUCUUUUUCUCCAUUGCCUGCCCCAGGAGAUUUUUGGUUGGAUCUGCCAUUGCAGAGAGUUCGGCGUGGCGAGCAGACUGCCUCCUCCAAGGACACCCAUCCCUUACCCUGCAUCCCCAACCCUAUUGUGUGUUUGAAUGUGGGAGAUACCAUCCUUUUCCAGCUCACCAUUCAUCCCCACAAUCGCGCUUCCAGCCACUACCCCGUCUAUCAGAAGCAGCAUCUGUACAACAGCAAUCCUAGCUGGGAUUUUGGUCCUUUCCGAAGACUGGACCACCUUAUUCGGGAGACUCACCUCAACAUCUCCAGGUUUGCCCAUGUUUUCCUAGAUCCUGGGAGAUACGUUUUCAGGGAUAGCACCAUCCAGGAGCGUAUCUUGAUCGUGGCUGUAAACGAGGAGAACAUGGGCUGUGACCCUGUCAACGCUUCCUUCCAGCCCUCUUCUCCAUACCAGCUGGCCAGACACGGGGUUCUGAAACAUCGGGCACUAAAUUUAGCUCCUGACUGGGCAACUAUCUCAGCGGUGCUCUUUGUACUGGGCUGCUUGAUGGUUGUGCUGAUGACCCUGGCUAUCAUGCUGAGGCCCCCCAUUUCCAGCCCCAGUCCCAUGAACAACUGGAAGCCACGGUGGAGGAGCCUGGGUGAGCCACACAUCCCACCCGAGUACAUCCUCAUUAAAGACAGCCUUCAGUACUAUGAAGUCCUUGGUCCCCAGGGUUCUGGAAGAGGAGCUGAUGGUGGAGAGAAAGGAGUUAUCCAUGGUCCAGGUGAGCCGCCCGCACCGAGGGACCUGGAAGAUUUCAGCGUCCGCACCCUAUAUGAUAAACUGGAGGACCAAAACCUUCACCUGGCUUCUCAGCUGGCAAAACACAGGGUGGAUGUGUUGGCCUUUUACAGGGGGAUCAGCCAGCGGAUCCAGGGUCUGAUGGACAUGGUGCAAACUCUGGACUCUGAAGGGCUGAAAGGCCUCACCAGGCAAAGCAUCUCAGUGCAUAGAACCCAGGGGAGCACCCAGGCAGCCAUGGGCAUUGGGCAAAAUGACGAAUUGACCAGCAGAGGCUUUCAAGCAAUGGGCCACACAGGUGCUGAGUGGCGGGAGGCAACAGAGUUAAUGAAAGCUCUGAAAAUCCUGCUCGGUAAAGUCCAUUGUGGGAAGACGAUUGUGAAGCAAGAGCCAUCACAGCACGUACAGGGACAGGAUGGGACAGCAGAAUCCAGCCUGGCCAGUCAAAGGAAAGCAGGAGCAGAGGGAGGGCAGGAUCCUGGUGGGCUCCAGCAGCAUGGACGCUCCAAUAGGAAAGGCCCCUUUGUCACCUGCGAAGAACAAGGUCUAGGUCCUCAGCCUGGGAGGGCCAUGCUGGAAUGCCUGACUGAGCUUGAGGUGGAGAGUCUGAUGGCAACUUCCCCCCUUGCCAGGACCUUGCGUGAGAUCAGGCAGGCUUUGGAGAAGCAGCAGCAGUGUCCUAUUGCUUCUGCUGCAGAGGCAUAUUUGAGUGACAGUACUCCAAGGUCCACCAGGAAUUCAUUGGUCACCACAGAUCUGUCCAGCUUGUCCCCUCGCCAGUUUGUGGUUUACCGCUUUGGCUGCACUGUGAUUCGCCUGCUAAGCCGGGCCUGCUCCCACCCGGCUGUGGUACUCAUGUUGGCUCAGACAGUCCCAGACCAAAGCCCGGAAGGGGUCCAAGAGGCUCUCCAAAGCCCUCGAGAUUCCUACUAUGAUGCCACCAACAGGUUCCUGUAUAUAUGUUCAGCACGCCUGGAGAAUGCCGGGGAAUUUAUAGCCAUCCUGCUGAAUGCCAUGGCAUGGAUCAAAGCAGGAUCUACAGCAGCUGCCACUGCUCAUUCUUGCUUUCAGAUGGAACUCAACAAAGGCAUCACAGCUGUAGCCAAUGCCUUUUUCCAGUGUUCCUGGGGAGCAGUAGAGAAGGAUCCUGCAGAAGACAAACCAUCCACUUGCUUUGACUCCCAGACAAUAUUUGAAGAACUUCUGAGCAUCCGAAUGUCACCAGAUCCCCAAUUCCUUGAGAAAUCCCAACAUGAGAGGUUGCAACAUUACCAAUGUUUUCAGCUUCAGGCGGAGAUUCGGGAUAUGAUGGAAAGUUCAAGGAGAAAAGGAGCAAUGAAGUGGAGUGGUGAGGGGGAUAAGAAAAAUGCAGAGUCCUCUGGCAUUCAGGUUGCGAAGCUGGAGAAGAUGCUGGAUGGGCUGAACGAGGAGUUCUUCCAGCUUACAGUGCAGGCCUUGACAAGCCAGAAGGAGGAGGAACUACUGGACCAGAAGCUCAGAAUCCAGGAGGAAUCAUUUGCGACACUGGGCAGGAUUCAUGAGGAGGAAGCACAACACUUCACAGAGCAGCUGGAAUCCUGGGCCGGGAAGAGAGACCAGGCCCAGUUGCUGGAAAUUAAGAAGAGCUGUGUUGCUCAGAGAAUUAAAGACACAGAAUCUGAACUGUUUCAUCUUCUGCAAACCACAACGGCCACCAGCUCAUCUCCUGAAGGAGCCCAGCAAUCCUUUUGUACCAGCUAAAAGCAUCCAACUGAUGAUGUUCCAUCAUUGCUGGGGCGAACAGACCUGUGAACACACAGACACCUAAUUUCCAUGGGACAUUCAUACAUGUACAUACACACAGUGACAUGCUGGUACAUAUAUGAGGCUACACAACCUUCAACACACACACAUGCAUGAUGAGGGUUAUAUGGGCACAUAUCGGAAGAUAAAUAUAUGCACAGAAACAAAGACACUAAUGGAUACAGUUUGAUACAAAUACAUAUGUUCAUGAACAGAUGUACAUGUACAGAGAUGUUCACAUGCACACUGAUAGAUGCAUGCUGUAGAUCCUACAUAUAUACAUUCUUUACAGCUGUGAAGGCGUAGACUCAAAUGUAUUCCUACACACUGUUAAUCAUCCAUAAUUGUGCAGGAUUGAAAAUAUCAAUGUUCUUAACUUAUAUUGGUGUUCUGAAUGUACCACUCUCAAUCAAUAAGACAAAAAGGGAGUAGGAAAUUAGACUCUUCACAUACAUUGCAGGAAAUCCCUGCCCAUCAGCAAAAUAAAUUAUGUACAUCUCAUGCAAGCUGCACCCUUAAGGUUAUUUGUUUUCCUAGAAAAAAGGGUGCUUUCAUCCUAUCUGGUCUGAUUUUUAAUAGCUUAGGAACAUUAACUCAAGCAGAAAUGUGUCUGACUUCUGCAGUGCAGACUGCAGCCUCCUCCCUUUCUCCCCAGGUGUCUUCAGAUCUCUUCCAGGUAAGGUAUAGUAAGGUAAAGCUGCCUGGCUGGGAGCCAGCAUAACACCUUGGCAACCCACACAGGCAGGUGCCUGCUAGUAGAUUCCAGCAGCCUCGACCAGGCCCCUUUAAUUGAUAGAAGUGAUAUUUAUUCAGCUGUCGCCUCAGGAAGAGGCUUUUGAGCCCUGCAGGUUCCUAAGCACAAACAAAUGUUUACAGGGCACUUCUGCAUGGCGUAUCUACAGGUGGCGUCAUCAGUGAGAGAAACAGUUGGCACCUGGCAGCCAGGACAGACGUGCUCAGUUUGGCUUUUACAAGGUGGUUGCCUGGUCAGAUGUGAAGGAAUUUCAGGGUCCUUCCCCCUGGGGGAUGCUUUUCAGGUUAUUGGUAGAAAUGUUUAUAACGGUGCUUCAUGGAGGUAAGUGACUUGCCAGCCUUGGAUUUCUGUUGCCUCCUACAUGUCCAUAAGGAACUUAGUCACUCAGGACAAAAGAGGCAAUAAAACUAGCAUUCCUGUCCCCCAUUGGUAUACUGUUUUUCGCGGGGAAAAAAUUAAAAUAUUGCAUAGAAAGUGAUUUUCUUUUUCAAAAUUUCCUACAAAAAAUACUUGGUAUUUUUUGUCCAGCUCUAAUGUUAGGAGAAGGUAAGUGAAAAGUUUCCUGGGUGAAAUUUUCAAAAAUGUCUAAGUGACUUGGGAGCCGAAAUUGCAUUUUCAAAAGUGAUUUAGGCCCAGAUUUUUAAAAGGCAUUUAGGCAUUACUAGGCUCAGCCUUGCAAUCGCUAACUGAUUCAGGCACCUAAAUCUCAUUUUCAAAAGGUAUUUAGGCCAUGAAGAGCCAAAAUCCCCUUGACAGUUGAUGAGAUUUAGGAUCCUAAGUGUUUAAUCACAUUUUAAAAUGACAUUUAGACUCCUUAAUCAGUGAGGCAUUGCAAAGCUGAGAGCAGCAGUGCCUAAAUACCUUUAAAAAUCUGGCCCUAAGGGCCUGAAGGAGCUUGGUCAUAACCUAAAAUGUUAGUCACCCUAGAACUGUGAAAAAUUCACACCCUGUACUCUACCGUUAGGUUGAUUUAACCCCCACUGUAGACAAGUGUCGCUUCUGUAAGUCGUUCAAACCCGGAACGAAAAAGGAGAGAGACAUCUGUCUCAGGGCACUCCUGAUGGAGUCGGCGCUGACUCCGGCACCGGAGCAGCGGUCUGACUCGGCCCCGAGCAGCGCAGCAUCGGUACAGAGUGCCCCGCUGGUGCCAUCUACGAGCCAGUACUGAUUCCCUGCCCCAGCCCUGACCCCGGCCAAGAAGUCCAACAUGUCUGCGAGGGGAAGAUCUCCCACAUCCCGUAAGGGAAAGGAGAGGGGUGGAGGAGAGCCAAGAGCCAUGCUGGGCGGCUCAACACCUCCGUCAGGGAGUCAGGCCCCAGCUCAUAUUGAGUGGUCGAGCCCCUCCCUUACUAUGCCUGCCACACUGGACAUUGACGAGGACCUCAGUCAACUCGAAGUCCUGUCGACGCCCGAGGCCCUGCAGGCAGCGCAGGAGAUCCUGACGCUACUGGUGCCGCCCACAUUGGCUCCAGAGGUACCCAAGCCCAGGGGUAAACCCGCCUUGGGACCGUUCCAAAUGUCCCCACCUCAGCCGGGGGGACAUCCCAUCAGCGCUCGCCUGCACGGAGCCGUCAUGCCUCGGACUUUGGGAGCAGGCUCAGAAAAGCCCUCUUCAGUCUCCGGACCCUGGGCACCGACAGUGGGAUUUGAGGCACGGCUCGCCGGUAACCUGACGCAGACCUGCGGAAUAUCAUGCCCCCGGCAUGAGCGUCGAGACUGACCCAUUGUGUCUCCAACGUCUCGGCACUGGUCCUGCAACCAAUCAGCGGAAUGGGGUCACCGGUCACCCGCCUGCCGGCACCCGUCGCCAAGACGCGAAUCCCCUCUAUCGGGGAGAUUCUACCGAUGACCGUCCUGCUCUAGAUCCCGGUACAGGUCAAGCAGCGUGAGGCGUAGAUCGCCGGUCUACUGACACAGAUAUGCCAAAUGACAAAGAUCCCCGGGGUCCCGUGGGAGGAACUCGUCUCAGUCGGAUAGGUCGGAGUCGAGGCACAGCGGCCUAUGGAUACUGCUAAGGGAAAAACUUCCAGCACCGAUGCAUGUGGCGAGCACACACACCUAAUAUGGAAUGGACAUAAGCAACACAUCUUGAAGAACACCAGUUACGGAAAAGGUAAUUGUCUUUUUCCCCUUCAUCCAGAAUUCAACCAUCCCCUAAAGUGACUCCUGCUGGGAGAGGCUAAGCCAGAAUAGCUUAGGGAGAAAGCUUUUGGUUUUGUGCAGAGCUCCCAGCCAGACUGGCAAGAGGAAAGGAAAGGGAGACAGUUGUACUGAGGCUCCAAGCUCAAUAUCUGUA